Molecule: ribosomal RNA, 730 nt
Filed under: Oscheius insectivora
Lineage: Eukaryota; Metazoa; Nematoda; Chromadorea; Rhabditida; Rhabditidae
Description: partial large subunit ribosomal RNA
Rfam family: Eukaryotic large subunit ribosomal RNA
Source: RNAcentral
GGUUUCAUCUUUGAAGAGAGAGUUCAAGAGAACGUGAAAUCCUGCUGGUUGAACCGGAGAGAGUUGACGUAGCUCGGUGGCUAAGCUUAAUUCUCUGGAUGCCCACUUGCUGGGUGUUCGGGUUGCUAUGUCCGCUUAUAGCUGCGCUGGCAGCGUUGUCCGAGCUUUCUGACUUCAACCUGGCUAGUGUUGCCCACUUCGGUGGUGUCUUGCUGCCGGCGAAGUCUGCCGUGUUAACGUUUAACUUGCUUAAUUGCGAAUUCGGUGCCAGUGUGAAGGUCAGCCACCUUUCCGUCCCGUCUUGAAACACGGACCGAGGAGUGUAACUUGUACGCGAGUCAGAGCCUAAGCGGUGGUAAACCCAACGGCGAAAUGAAAGUAAAUGUCGAUUUAUCGGCUGACAUGGGAUCCGUGCUUUUGUGCGGCGCACCUUAUUAUGGCCCUGUCUUGAGAGCUUGCUCUUGGGCAGAGGUAGAGCGUAUACAGGUUGCGACCCGAAAGAUGGUGAACUAUACUUGCUUAGCAGGACGAAGCCAGAGGAAACUCUGGUGGAAGUCCGUAAAUCGGUUCUGACGUGCAAAUCGAUCGAUAGACUUGAGUAUAUUACGGGGGCGAAAGACUAAUCGAACCAUCUAUUCCUAGUUCCCCGCGGGGGAAAUUGGGGGUUCACAUAACACAAAAUCCAAACCCGCUCAACGGUACCUAGUUAGCUGGGUUCCUUUCCCAAAAA